CAAGGGUAUAAGAGACUUUUGUCACUUAAUGGAGAUGAUAUUUUUGAAAAUAUUUUUUUAAUGGUGUUAAAGAUGAAAAGUGGUAACAUGAAAGUGGUAAACAUAAAAUUUUCCCGAUAAUCAAUAACAGAUUAAUAAUGUGUCAAAUUUUUUGGAAUGCUAUGAUAAUCUUUAUGGGCUUAGCCUGUAAAUAUUUUUCUCUCUAUAACUUAACGCCUCAAAUUUCUUUUCCUCUUUACUAAUAGUCGUAACUUAAGAAUAAAUCAAAAACGUAUGAAUUAUGAUUCAUAAAUGAAAGAUGUAUUAAUCUUAAACAUACGUAUUUAAUUCGAUCGGUGACAUUCAUGCCGAAGAUGAACGGUUUGCAACUUUGUAUAUAAAAGUGAAUUGAAUACCUCAUGAACUCAGAAGAACAAAAUUACAUUAGGAUCACCUUCCACUCUUCCAUUUCAGUUUCUAGGUCCACAGACCACGACGAGUGAAUGUUGAUGAACUAGGCGCCAUGGAAUUAUCGCUGGAAGGCUAACUCAAUAUUUCUUUCACGGAGAAUGGAUCUCUCUUCGCCGCGUUUAAGAGCAGAAACGUGGCUGAUCGGCUUCUUCCACUAAGAGGAAGCAUGCGUCCAGGAGAUAAGAAGAUCAAAAGGAUGAUGAAGUUGACGCCUUAGAGCUACACCACCAUCGACGAUCCGGAGAAAGUAUCCACGGCCGUCGCUUCUGAAAUUAAUGGCGGAGGAGGAGGCACGAAAUGAAGCUAUCGGCGGUGGUGGUCGGACUGUUCUAGUUGUUAUACUGCUGGAUCUGCUCCAAGUGCUCCCGUAGCUGAGAAUCAACCCUCUCCUCGAAGACAUUAUGGCUAAGGAAAUGCUAGCAUUCCCAAGAUAACUUUUUUUAUCUCCCGGUGGCUUUAUAUAAAUGAUUGCAAACAAGUAAGUAUAAUUUAAUUUAUAAGCUGUAAUAGUUAAUUGGAGAUAGGUUUGUUAAUUCAUUGUCACUGGAUACAUUUGAUAGACAAAAAGAAGUGUCCACCCCCACAGCCCCACAAACUAAAAUGUAAAUUCGUAUAAAUGAAAAAACAACCACGGAAAAUAUGUAUUCAUGGGAAAGUUAUUUAUAUGGUUUACACCUUGCGUGCGUCUAUAUUCAAGGUUUGCUAUUUGAUCAUAGGGUGCUAAACGCAAUAUAACUCAUCCAAAAAUAUGUGUUGGAAUUUUGACAAACAUUAAAUGCAUUCAUGCGCAAUAGCAGAAUAAACACAUACUGCUAAUAAGAUUAUAAAAGGUCCAUCUUCUUAUAGAAAAACGUAUGAUGAUGAGCUUUGACAUGUAGUACGUGCAUUACUAUUAUAAAUAGUGUGGAUUGUGUUUUUGUAUAUUACUUUUGUCAUUUAGACGGAUAAAUUUGAAAUACAUUAUUAAUUCAGUUAAUCAGAGAACCGAGUUUUACAGAGCCAUAAACAUUUUAAAAUUAAUUUCAAUAGUAUUUUUGACAAUUUUGAAAGUCAUACAACUUAUAUAUAUUAUAUCUUUAAAAUUUAUAAAUAAUUAUUCCAUUGGUUCUCAGAACUGGUUCUAAAUUUACUAUUAGAAAUUACGUGAUAAUAACAUUAACCUAAUAUUUUUUAGAGAACAUAUCCUUUUAUUUUUGACAAUGCAAAUAUAUCUUCCUAAUACAAAAGAUAUCAUAAAAAUGGAAAUUGUUGACAAAUUUUAAAUAAAAACAACAUUAAUUUAAAAAUAGAGAUGGUAAGUAUAUGUCAAACUAAGAAUAAGACACAAAGUUCAUAUAGAAAAAAGAACAAAAUUAUUUUUUUUUGGUAAGAAUUUUGAGGCACUCAAAUUAAUGAGACUGAUUUUAGCUCCAACUAUAAGUUGAAAUGAAAAAGUAUUUGAAAAACGUUCUGUCUGUGAAAGUGGGCAAUAGCCUCUAUCACUAUGUAUUCCCUUAUAGAUAAGCUUUGAACUAAGAACUUAUAUUUUCUGUCUAACACAUUAAUAAUAUGCUUGAUUAACUUGAUUGAGAAUAAAUUGUCAAGUUUUUUAAAAGUCGAAUAAUUUAUUUGGAUUUCCAUAGAGAAAAAUACACAAAUAUCUCAUAGAGAAUAUUAUCAUGUUUUGAUAUUUUAUUUUAAAUUUUUUUUGUUGCAUGGAAACAAAAGUAUUUGACUAGGGUUUUUUAAUGUACAUCACUAGAUAUUAGUUACUUAAAUUUUAAAAAUGCAUAUUAGUUAAUUUUAACAUUAAAAACAAAAUUUAAAUUUUACAUUAAUUUAAUAAUAAUUUAUCAAAAUUAAAUAAACAAGAUAAGAGAAUAACUGAAUUUUAACUAAUACUCCCUCCGUUUUUUUGUAUGAUGUUUUAGAAGAUAUUUUUGUUUCAAUUGGUAUGAUGUUUUGAAACUUUCUAUGUAAAGCUAUUAAAGUAAUUGAUUUAAAUAUUAAAAAGAAAUGUAUAGUUUUUGUCGUAUUUGUUCAUAAUAUCAAUGCUUAGUUAUUUUUGACUACUUUUUGUUGUAAUUGAGUGCGUUUUUACAAAAGUAUAUUGUUUCUUAAUUUGUGUGUUUAUACUAAAACACCAUAUAAAAAGAAACAGAGGAAGUACUAUUUUAACCCUUUUUUGGACAACAGUAAUACUAUUUUAACUUAAUUACCAGUUUAUAUUGUUUUUUUGCUAUUGAAAAUAAUUUUUUUUUAAUAAUUUCAAAAUUAUAGUCAUCAAAAAUAAUAAAAAUUACAAUUUUCUAAUAAUUUACAUCAUAAAUAUAUAUAAAAUCAAAUACAAUCUUUUAAAAAGAUCUCCGGUUAAUUAAAAUAUAUGGAAAGAAAUCCGAUCAAAAUUUAAAUAAACAAGAUAAGAGAAUAAUUGAAUUUUAACUAAUAUUAUUUUUAACUUAAUUACCAAUUUAUAUGAUUUUUCUGCUAUUGAAAAGAUUUUUUUUUUAAUAUUUUCAAGAUUGUAGUAACCAAAAAAAAUACAAAAUUACAAUAUCUCUAACAAUUUACAUCAUAAAUAUAUAUAAACUCAAAUACAGUUUUUAUCUUAAGUUAAAUAAAAUAUAUGGAAAAAAAACCCGGAUGUAUCCCGGAAAAGUCUCUAGUUAUAUUAGAAAAGCAUAAUAUGAGAACAUACAAAUGAAAAUAUAAAUAUAAUAGAACAUGUUGAAUGGUAUAAUUUAUAUUAAUGAAAUUAUAAAAUGGUUUAAAUAUAUUAUACUAUGUAUGUGUUUUGAAUAUGUCUAAAAUUAACAAAUAGCAGGGAACGAGGUAAUGCUUACCCCAACGUCAACUCAAACCUUUCAUAAAUUAAACCAAAAACACUAGUCACUAAACUUUAAAAGGUAAUAUAAAUUCUAACUCAAAUAUCAAAAUAUGCCAAUAGUACAUAAUAUGGAGCAUUAUUAAAAUAAAGUUAACGAAAUAACAUACAUUAUUUCAACUGAUCUGACAGGCAUCGAUGAUGUGACGAAGAGAAUCGGAGGCGCCUCGACUGUAACGCCGUCGUGGU
This is a long non-coding RNA of Brassica napus (rape), 3502 nucleotides long. RefSeq lists it as uncharacterized. NCBI's taxonomy places the organism in Eukaryota, Viridiplantae, Streptophyta, Magnoliopsida, Brassicales, Brassicaceae. The record is from RefSeq and is a predicted model, not a curated record. The transcript is spliced from 3 exons.